Molecule: long non-coding RNA, 559 nt
Organism: Passer domesticus (house sparrow)
Lineage: Eukaryota; Metazoa; Chordata; Aves; Passeriformes; Passeridae
Exons: 3
Source: RefSeq, a predicted model, not a curated record
UGAGUGUUUUAUGUCUGCUGGAUCUGACAAAUGCACCCACCUACAACACAGCCUGUGCCUCGGGAUUAGGAAAAUUUUAUUUCCUCCUCUACAAGAAAAGCAGGUGUCUGCUGCUCCCAGUCUGCUGCUGCUUCUCCACCGAGCUGGCUACAGUUUCUGCAAUGUGGGAGAGAGGAAUAAAAAAGAUAAGAGUAAUUAAAAUUGUCAGCAUUAACAUAAGAAGCCAAAUGUCCCUAGAGGACAGUGCCAGCUCUUCCUUUCUGCUUCUGCUUUAAUCUGAGAGGAAGCUGAGUGCUGUGGAAUGGCCAGGAUCACUCCUGGAGCUGGAAGAAAGAGCUCAGUGAUGGGUCUGCCACUUUUUCAGCCUUCUGCAAGGCUGAGGCUCAGUCACCACUUAGCUAAAAUGCACUGAAGAAAAAAUGCAAUCCUCCAUGAGUCAACACUGAGCUGGUGGUGAUAGAAUAUCCUGGAGCCAAAUUCACCUCAUGUUUUUGCUGAGAACAAGAACUGAAGCCCUGCAUUCUGGCCAGAUUUCAUCUCUGUAAGAAUUUACAUGUUU